Molecule: ribosomal RNA, 2093 nt
Filed under: Escherichia coli HVH 193 (4-3331423)
Lineage: Bacteria; Pseudomonadati; Pseudomonadota; Gammaproteobacteria; Enterobacterales; Enterobacteriaceae
Description: bacterial LSU rRNA
Rfam family: Bacterial large subunit ribosomal RNA
Source: RNAcentral
UUAAGCGACUAAGCGUACACGGUGGAUGCCCUGGCAGUCAGAGGCGAUGAAGGACGUGCUAAUCUGCGAUAAGCGUCGGUGAGGUGAUAUGAACCGUUAUAACCGGCGAUUUCCGAAUGGGGAAACCCAGUGUGUUUCGACACACUAUCAUUAACUGAAUCCAUAGGUUAAUGAGGCGAACCGGGGGAACUGAAACAUCUAAGUACCCCGAGGAAAAGAAAUCAACCGAGAUUCCCCCAGUAGCGGCGAGCGAACGGGGAGGAGCCCAGAGCCUGAAUCAGUGUGUGUGUUAGUGGAAGCGUCUGGAAAGGCGCGCGAUACAGGGUGACAGCCCCGUACACAAAAAUGCACAUACUGUGAGCUCGAUGAGUAGGGCGGGACACGUGGUAUCCUGUCUGAAUAUGGGGGGACCAUCCUCCAAGGCUAAAUACUCCUGACUGACCGAUAGUGAACCAGUACCGUGAGGGAAAGGCGAAAAGAACCCCGGCGAGGGGAGUGAAAAAGAACCUGAAACCGUGUACGUACAAGCAGUGGGAGCCUCUUAAUGGGGUGACUGCGUACCUUUUGUAUAAUGGGUCAGCGACUUAUAUUCUGUAGCAAGGUUAACCGAAUAGGGGAGCCGAAGGGAAACCGAGUCUUAACUGGGCGUUAAGUUGCAGGGUAUAGACCCGAAACCCGGUGAUCUAGCCAUGGGCAGGUUGAAGGUUGGGUAACACUAACUGGAGGACCGAACCGACUAAUGUUGAAAAAUUAGCGGAUGACUUGUGGCUGGGGGUGAAAGGCCAAUCAAACCGGGAGAUAGCUGGUUCUCCCCGAAAGCUAUUUAGGUAGCGCCUCGUGAAUUCAUCUCCGGGGGUAGAGCACUGUUUCGGCAAGGGGGUCAUCCCGACUUACCAACCCGAUGCAAACUGCGAAUACCGGAGAAUGUUAUCACGGGAGACACACGGCGGGUGCUAACGUCCGUCGUGAAGAGGGAAACAACCCAGACCGCCAGCUAAGGUCCUAAAGUCAUGGUUAAGUGGGAAACGAUGUGGGAAGGCCCAGACAGCCAGGAUGUUGGCUUAGAAGCAGCCAUCAUUUAAAGAAAGCGUAAUAGCUCACUGGUCGAGUCGGCCUGCGCGGAAGAUGUAACGGGGCUAAACCAUGCACCGAAGCUGCGGCAGCGACACUAUGUGUUGUUGGGUAGGGGAGCGUUCUGUAAGCCUGCGAAGGUGUGCUGUGAGGCAUGCUGGAGGUAUCAGAAGUGCGAAUGCUGACAUAAGUAACGAUAAAGCGGGUGAAAAGCCCGCUCGCCGGAAGACCAAGGGUUCCUGUCCAACGUUAAUCGGGGCAGGGUGAGUCGACCCCUAAGGCGAGGCCGAAAGGCGUAGUCGAUGGGAAACAGGUUAAUAUUCCUGUACUUGGUGUUACUGCGAAGGGGGGACGGAGAAGGCUAUGUUGGCCGGGCGACGGUUGUCCCGGUUUAAGCGUGUAGGCUGGUUUUCCAGGCAAAUCCGGAAAACCAAGGCUGAGGCGUGAUGACGAGGCACUACGGUGCUGAAGCGACAAAUGCCCUGCUUCCAGGAAAAGCCUCUAAGCAUCAGGUAACAUCAAAUCGUACCCCAAACCGACACAGGUGGUCAGGUAGAGAAUACCAAGGCGCUUGAGAGAACUCGGGUGAAGGAACUAGGCAAAAUGGUGCCGUAACUUCGGGAGAAGGCACGCUGAUAUGUAGGUGAAGCGACUUGCUCGUGGAGCUGAAAUCAGUCGAAGAUACCAGCUGGCUGCAACUGUUUAUUAAAAACACAGCACUGUGCAAACACGAAAGUGGACGUAUACGGUGUGACGCCUGCCCGGUGCCGGAAGGUUAAUUGAUGGGGUUAGCGGUAACGCGAAGCUCUUGAUCGAAGCCCCGGUAAACGGCGGCCGUAACUAUAACGGUCCUAAGGUAGCGAAAUUCCUUGUCGGGUAAGUUCCGACCUGCACGAAUGGCGUAAUGAUGGCCAGGCUGUCUCCACCCGAGACUCAGUGAAAUUGAACUCGCUGUGAAGAUGCAGUGUACCCGCGGCAAGACGGAAAGACCCCGUGAACCUUUACUAUAGCUUGACACUGAA